This 405-nucleotide ribosomal RNA is filed under the name uncultured bacterium. RNAcentral's name for it is "partial 16S ribosomal RNA". It matches the Rfam family "Bacterial small subunit ribosomal RNA", at positions 30 to 525 of the family's 1533-position model. The record is from RNAcentral.
AUUGAACGCUGGCGGCAGGCCUAACACAUGCAAGUCGAGCGAGCGGCGGACGGGUGAGUAAUGUCUGGGAAACUGCCUGAUGGAGGGGGAUAACUACUGGAAACGGUAGCUAAUACCGCAUACCAUCAGAUGUGCCCAGAUGGGAUUAGCUAGUCGGUGGGGUAACGUCUCACCUAGGCGACGAUCCCUAGCUGGUCUGAGAGGAUGACCAGCACAACUGGAUCUGAGCCACUGUCCAUACUCCUACGGGAGGCAGUAGUAGUGAAUAUUUCACAAUGGGCGCAAGCCUGAUGCAGCCAUGCCGCGUGUGUUAAGAAUGCCUUCGGGUUGUAAAGCACUUGCAGCGGGGAGGCGUUACCCGCAGAAGAAGCACCGGCUAACUCCGUGCCAGCAGCCGCGGUAAUC